Molecule: small nuclear RNA, 105 nt
Organism: Rattus norvegicus (Norway rat)
Lineage: Eukaryota; Metazoa; Chordata; Mammalia; Rodentia; Muridae
Source: Ensembl
GUGCUCUCUUUAGUAGCAUGUAUGUUUUACUUUGGAAGGAUACAGAAGUUACCAUGGCCCUUGCCCAAGGAUGACACAAAGAUACAUGAAACAUUCCAUAUUUAA